This 77-nucleotide transfer RNA is filed under the name Mollicutes bacterium. RNAcentral's name for it is "tRNA-Pro". It matches the Rfam family "tRNA". From Rfam's summary of the family: Transfer RNA (tRNA) molecules are approximately 80 nucleotides in length. Lineage: Bacteria; Bacillati; Mycoplasmatota; Mollicutes. The record is from RNAcentral.
CGGGAAAUGGCUCAGUCCGGUAGAGCACUCGGUUUGGGACCGAGAGGUCGCAGGUUCAAAUCCUGUUUUCCCGACCA